Long non-coding RNA from Bos indicus x Bos taurus (hybrid cattle), 1564 nucleotides. The record is from Ensembl. Lineage: Eukaryota; Metazoa; Chordata; Mammalia; Artiodactyla; Bovidae.
AAAUUCUGUAAUUUCAAUUUUGAGACAGUUAAGAGGAGGAUUUGUUUUAAAUACAUGUUUUUCCACAUUUUUGGAAACAUUAUAAAAUGUUGUAUUUUUCAUACCCCACACCCUUUUAUAUCAGGACAUUCCCCCUUUCUUCUUCCCCUCAGAAAAUUCUGUAAGAUUAAGGGUCAUAUAAGGGCUCUUCGCCCUGAAGCCCAUGAGAGAAAAAGAACCUCAUAAACCACAGAAAGAAAUAUCCAUGGGGCACUCAGGUAGCCUAAAAGGUCUGACAACAGCAGGCCCUACCCUACGAACAAAGCAGGGACCCCCACGGGCACGCAGCCAUCUCCUGCACUGCAGCUCUGCUCUCUUCUUUGAUUGGUUUUAGCGGUGACGCCCCCUCUGAAUGCCUCGCUCGGAUUGGCCUACUUCUUGGAUCAGACUGGACGGUGGCCAGAGGAGGACAAGAGAGUUCCAUACGGUCUGGAGGGACGAUUUGGGUCACAUCUGAGAAGGAGUUGCACAUCAACAAGCGUCCAGGCUCCAGGGACAUGGCGGCGGCCUCUGUGAUGUCGGUGCUGCUGAUGGCGACUGAGAGGAACCGGUGGCAGCGAGUCCAGAGCCUGCUGCUGCUGCUGCCGCCCAGGCAACGAUCCAAAAGAUACUUCUAGCACUUGGAUACUACCUGGGAGCAACUUGUCAUGCCUGCAUUGUAUGGAACAAGUGUUCAAAAUAAAAUGCAAAAACUGUAAGCUGAUGGAAGAGGCAGCACACAACAUCCCUGGCACUCCAGGGAGAACAUUUGAUGUAGAAGAUAUCUUUGUUGUGUCCCUUUCUGCCUUAAUGCCAAUCAACAUGCUGAAGUCCUCAAAAAGUUCCUGAGAGAUCCAUUUCAAAUUCUAGUCAAGAAAGAACUGAUCAUUGAAAGGUGCUGACAGAAAGAAAGAGGCAUUACCAAGAGGGAACUCCUUGAUAAGAAUUGGAAGCGGGAGUCAAUUUGGGAGGAAAGCUGUGGCCAUAAACAUUGAAGAAGACAAGAAGAAUCUUUAUGACACUGAGACUUUCUACCACAUUACGGUGGAGGAAAUGCCAAAGACUGUGGCUGACCUAAUUUAAUCCCUGGAAUGAAAUGGUUAUGAAUGUAGUGCUUGCUAUUGCUGAACAGGCAAUCACAUUGUGCAUUGUGUUUCUUUUGGGGAUAAUAUGUGAAACUUGUCUCAGUGCUCACAACAGAUUAAAAAUACAGAUUUUGAUAACAAAGCAACUUCAGACAUGAUUUCAUGUGAGGGUAGUCAUUGGCUUUAUCUUCUUAUUUCCUAGUUCUCUACACAUGGUUGUAUUGAGCAUUUGCCAUCAUUUAAUAAUAUGGCCUGAAAGAUAUAAAAGCAGCUAUUUAUAAAGUUUGUCUGCCUUUAUUGUAUUAGUCACUAACUGAAUAGAGCUAACUUUAAAAUGAUUUUUUAAGAAAAUAUUUAAAUUUAUUUUGUUUGGUAUCAUUUUUUCCAGUAAGGCAUUUUAUUAGCAGUUAGUUGAAUGUUUAUUGAAUGUUCAAUAAAUUACAGUGAAGUAUUUUUUCUCU